This is an RNA transcript of Cucumis melo (muskmelon), 1747 nucleotides long. It is a transcript of the gene named probable BOI-related E3 ubiquitin-protein ligase 3, with no coding region annotated. The record is from RefSeq and is a predicted model, not a curated record. Lineage: Eukaryota; Viridiplantae; Streptophyta; Magnoliopsida; Cucurbitales; Cucurbitaceae. The transcript is spliced from 3 exons.
CCCUCUGUGUUUACCGCCUCCCUUAUUAAAAACAAAACUCCCAUUUUAGUGAGAGAAGAAAGAAACCACCCCUUUCUUUCUCACUCCCUCCUCCUUGGGCUUCCGAACAUUACAUUGCAUAAUUUUCAGAUGGAUGGAUUGAUCUUAUUCUUCUUCGGUUUUUUCUUCUGAUCAUUUCCGUUUUUGAAACCGCGAACGGCGCCUAAUUUCCUUUUUGCCGUUUUGAUUUCUGUUCCGAAACAUGGCUAUUCAAUUGCAGUUACACAGCCGGGAUUUUGGCAUCCAUUCUACUACUGCUCCUCCUCCUCCUUCUUCUUCUUCUGAUCAUCAGUUUCAUCAAUUAUGUCAUCUUCUUAAUCAUCAUCAUCUUCUUCUUCAACCACGAGAAGAUCAUCAUGCUGCUCAAAUAUCCGGUAAUAAUAAUGAUCAUCUUCUACUAUUGCAGCAGUACUGUUUGACUCAGUCUGAUCUUCAUCAAUCUCUCAGUUCUUUCGUCUCUGAAAUGCCUAGCGAUCACAUCGAUCGAUUCAUUCGAUUACAGAGUGAGAGAUUUAGAUUACUUCUACAACAAAAGAUUAAUCAACAAAUCGGAGUGUUAUUGAACCAGAUCGAAACAAGAACGCGCGUUCUGUUUCAGCAGAAGGAUGAAGAGAUCGCUUGUGCGAAUAUGAGAAGAAUUCAUCUAGAACAAUUAUUGACGAGAUUACAAAUGGAGAAUCAAGAACGGAAGAAAUCCGUACAAGAGAAUCAAGCAAUGGUAGCCUCGCUUAGUCGCGCACUCAAUCAAAUCAGAGAAAAAGUUUCAUUAUGCGCGAACGACGCUGAAUCGAACAACAAUAACAACAACUACAGAAACGGAGAAGACGACGCCAUUGAUUACGGAAAAACGAAGAAAAAGAAGAAGAAAAUGAUGAUUUGUAAAAUCUGCAACUCUCGAGUUUCGUGCGUUCUGUUGUUGCCUUGCAGGCACCUCUGUUCGUGUAAGCCAUGCGAGAGUACUCUCGAUUUUUGCCCCGUUUGCAACACGACGAAGAAAGCCAGCAUCGAGGCUGUGAUUUUCUAGGCAAAUUUUCCGGGAAGAAACGUUUCAAGUUGAAAACGAAGAUGAACAGAUCAAACCGUCUCACUCUUUCGGAUUUUUUAUACACCAGUUUAAAAAAGAAGAGAAGAAAGUCGAUACAAUGAAAAAAGAAAAGAAAAAGAAGAAACAGAGAUUUGGUGACCCAAAUCUAAAAAAAUAGGAAGAUGGAAGAAAUCACGUGAGUACGAGGAAGAAAGACAUAAAAAAUGGCAGAAAAUAGAAAAGGAUGGAAUAGCAAAUCUGAAAUAUUUAAAAAAGGACUAAAUUUAUAAGCUUUGUUAUCCGGAACGUAAAUAUUUCAUGAGGUUUUAGAAGAAUAAAUUGAAAAGAAAAUGUAGGCUAAAGUUUACAUAAGUGUGUAUUAAUUAAUGAGAGGUAUAAGCUAGAUGGGAGGAGGAGUAGAAAGCUACUGGUACAUACAAGUAGUGUAUUCAUGGAUGUGGGCCUUGGAAAAGUUAAUGUAGAGAAGAUAUGUGACAUCAAUUUGAGGCAAGACACAAAGUCCUAGGUGCAAGGCAAAGGUAGUUUGUCAAAUCACUCCAAUAGUGUGUAACAUUGAAUCUAGUACCCAUGGACUAUAACAAAGUCGAUCGAUCAAUUUUACUCGUUGACUUUCGAAAUAAAAAGUUAUAUUGCAACUUGCUAUUAUCAUUUGAGAUUUGUUUA